Molecule: ribosomal RNA, 460 nt
Filed under: uncultured bacterium
Lineage: Bacteria
Description: partial 16S ribosomal RNA
Rfam family: Bacterial small subunit ribosomal RNA
Source: RNAcentral
CCUACGGGAGGCAGCAGUGAGGAAUAUUGGUCAAUGGGCGUAAGCCUGAACCAGCCAAGUCGCGUGAGGGAUGAAGGUUCUAUGGAUUGUAAACCCCUUUUAUAAGGGAAUAAAGUGCGGGACGUGUCCCGUUUUGUAUGUACCUUAUGAAUAAGGAUCGGCUAACUCCGUGCCAGCAGCCGCGGUAAUACGGAGGAUCCGAGCGUUAUCCGGAUUUAUUGGGUUUAAAGGGUGCGUAGGCGGCCUUUUAAGUCAGCGGUGAAAGUCUGUGGCUCAACCAUAGAAUUGCCGUUGAAACUGGGAGGCUUGAGUAUGUUUGAGGCAGGCGGAAUGCGUGGUGUAGCGGUGAAAUGCUUAGAUAUCACGCAGAACCCCGAUUGCGAAGGCAGCCUGCCAAGCCAUGACUGACGCUGAUGCACGAAAGCGUGGGGAUCAAACAGGAUUAGAUACCCUAGUAGUC